GUGGGGAAUUUUGGACAAUGGGCGCAAGCCUGAUCCAGCCAUGCCGCGUGAGUGAAGAAGGCCUUCGGGUUGUAAAGCUCUUUCGGCCGGGAAGAAAUCGCUUGGGUCAAUACCCUGAGUGGAUGACGGUACCGGAAUAAGAAGCACCGGCUAACUACGUGCCAGCAGCCGCGGUAAUACGUAGGGUGCGAGCGUUAAUCGGAAUUACUGGGCGUAAAGCGUGCGCAGGCGGUUGUGCAAGACAGGCGUGAAAUCCCCGGGCUUAACCUGGGAACUGCGCUUGUGACUGCACGGCUAGAGUACGGCAGAGGGGGGUGGAAUUCCACGUGUAGCAGUGAAAUGCGUAGAGAUGUGGAGGAACACCGAUGGCGAAGGCAGCCCCCUGGGCCAGUACUGACGCUCAUGCACGAAAGCGUGGGGAGCAAACAGGAUUAGAUACCCUAGUAGUCC
Molecule: ribosomal RNA, 450 nt
Filed under: uncultured bacterium
Lineage: Bacteria
Description: bacterial SSU rRNA
Rfam family: Bacterial small subunit ribosomal RNA
Source: RNAcentral